UGAACGGUAGCCAAAAGGUAAGGCAACAGGCUUUGAACCUGUGAUUUUGUAGGUUCGAUUCCUACUCGUUCAA
Molecule: transfer RNA, 73 nt
Filed under: Bacteriophage sp.
Description: tRNA-Gln
Rfam family: tRNA
About the family: Transfer RNA (tRNA) molecules are approximately 80 nucleotides in length.
Source: RNAcentral